RNAcentral lists this ribosomal RNA (253 nucleotides) under uncultured bacterium. RNAcentral's name for it is "partial 16S ribosomal RNA". It matches the Rfam family "Bacterial small subunit ribosomal RNA", at positions 524 to 776 of the family's 1533-position model. The record is from RNAcentral.
UACGAAGGGGGCUAGCGUUGCUCGGAAUCACUGGGCGUAAAGCGCACGUAGGCGGCUCUCUAAGUCAGGGGUGAAAUCCUGGAGCUCAACUCCAGAACUGCCUUUGAUACUGGCGAUCUUGAGUCCGGGAGAGGUGAGUGGAACUGCGAGUGUAGAGGUGAAAUUCGUAGAUAUUCGCAAGAACACCAGUGGCGAAGGCGGCUCACUGGCCCGGUACUGACGCUGAGGUGCGAAAGCGUGGGGAGCAAACAGG